RNAcentral lists this ribosomal RNA (800 nucleotides) under uncultured bacterium. RNAcentral describes it as "bacterial SSU rRNA". It matches the Rfam family "Bacterial small subunit ribosomal RNA", at positions 34 to 832 of the family's 1533-position model. The record is from RNAcentral.
AGGGGGUGGCGGGUGCUUAACAUGGCAGUCGAACGAAGCAUUUGCACGGAAUCCCUCGGGAGGAAGUGUGAAUGCCUGUAAGGCGGACGGGUGAGUAACGCGUGGGCAACCUGCCCCGUAACGGGGGAUAACAGCCGGAAACGGCUGCUAAUACCGCAUAUGCUUUGCGGGCCGCAUGGCCCGCAAAGCCCCACUCCGGUGGUACGGGAUGGGCCCGCGUCUGAUUAGCUGGUUGGCGGGGUAACGGCCCACCAAGGCGACGAUCAGUAGCCGGCCUGAGAGGGCGGCCGGCCACAUUGGGACUGAGACACGGCCCAGACUCCUGCGGGAGGCAGCAGUGGGGAAUAUUGCACAAUGGGGGAAACCCUGAUGCAGCGACGCCGCGUGGGCGAGGAAGUACCUCGGUAUGUAAAGCCCUAUCAGCAGGGAAGAAACAGGACAGUACCUGACUAAUAAGCCCCGGCUAACUACGUGCCAGCAGCCGCGGUAAUACGUAGGGGGCACGCGUUAUCCGGAUUCACUGGGCGUAAAGGGAGCGCAGGCGGCAUGGCAAGUCUGAUGCGAAAACCCGGGGCCCAACCCCGGGAGUGCAUUGGAAACUGCCAGGCUGGAGUGUCGGAGGGGUAAGCGGAAUUCCUAGUGUAACGGUGAAAUGCGUAGAUAUUAUGAGGACCACCAGUGGCGAAGGCGGCUUACUGGACGACCACCGACGCUGAGGCUCGAAAGCGUGGCGAGCAACCAGCGAUUAAAUCCCUGCCCAUCCCCGCCCUAAAUCGAUGUAUAUCAUUUGCCGGCGGCCA